This 254-nucleotide ribosomal RNA is filed under the name uncultured bacterium. Its description in RNAcentral is "partial 16S ribosomal RNA". It matches the Rfam family "Bacterial small subunit ribosomal RNA", at positions 524 to 776 of the family's 1533-position model. The record is from RNAcentral.
UACGUAGGGGGCGAGCGUUGUCCGGAUUUAUUGGGCGUAAAGAGCUCGUAGGCGGUUUGGUAAGUCGGGUGUGAAAUCUCCACGCUCAACGUGGAGGGGCCACUCGAUACUGCCAUGACUCGAGUCCGGUAGAGGAGUGUGGAAUUCCCGGUGUAGCGGUAAAAUGCGCAGAUAUCGGGAGGAACACCCGUAGCGAAGGCGGCACUCUGGGCCGGAACUGACGCUGAGGAGCGAAAGCGUGGGGAGCAAACAGG